Molecule: non-coding RNA, 611 nt
Organism: Paramisgurnus dabryanus
Lineage: Eukaryota; Metazoa; Chordata; Actinopteri; Cypriniformes; Cobitidae
Source: RefSeq, a predicted model, not a curated record
GAAAUCUGUGAUCUGAUAAAAUGGUGCAUGGCCCUGAAGCCAAGUAAUCGUCCGACGCUCAAGCAGAUCUUGGAUCAUGACUGGUUUAAAACUGAGUCUAACGAAGAAGAGCUACUCUUUUACAAAAUGAGGGCGCUAUCCACAUAAAUAUAAAAAGGAUGAAGCUUAAUGACUGAAGGAGAGGGGAAUGAUUGGAGAUGCUGUUUUCACGGAUGAGUUUCUACAACCAGAAACUGAGAAUAAGCGCGGAUAUUAAAAGGGCCACAAUUACAAGAGAGACGAGCCAUUAUUUAAAACAGGAAUUUCUCAGGAGUAACACAUUUUUGGGAACUUUCUGCAUAAUGCUGUAUUUCAGCCUCAGACGCCACAACCACAGACCGCUGGCUGAACAUCUGAGGCAGAUCCUGUCUCGUCCUUAAAAAUAAAAAAGUUUUUAUUUUUUUAAUUCUUAAUGUUUUUAUUUUUUAAAGUUGUAUAAUAUAGUAUCUAAUAUAUAGUAUGUCCUCUAUAGAAUCAGCUAUGUCUGUCUCUCUCUCUAGGGUUUUUUUUCUCCUAGGAGUUUAGAGAGUCAGCUUACAUUGGCUUAACUUAGAUAUCUGUUCUAUACAUUA